UACAGAGGUCCCAAGCGUUGUUCGGAUUCAUUGGGCGUAAAGGGUGCGUAGGUGGCGCCGUAAGUGGGGUGUGAAAUUUCGGAGCUUAACUCCGAAACUGCAUUCCAUACUGCGGUGCUUGAGGACUGGAGAGGAGACUGGAAUUUACGGUGUAGCAGUGAAAUACGUAGAGAUCGUAAGGAAGACCAGUGGCGAAGGCGGGUCUCUGGACAGUUCCUGACGCUGAGGCACGAAGGCCAGGGGAGCAAACGGG
RNAcentral lists this ribosomal RNA (253 nucleotides) under uncultured bacterium. Its description in RNAcentral is "partial 16S ribosomal RNA". It matches the Rfam family "Bacterial small subunit ribosomal RNA", at positions 524 to 776 of the family's 1533-position model. The record is from RNAcentral.